This 407-nucleotide ribosomal RNA is filed under the name Spinastacoides inermis. RNAcentral describes it as "partial 16S ribosomal RNA". It matches the Rfam family "Archaeal large subunit ribosomal RNA", at positions 2010 to 2611 of the family's 2987-position model. The record is from RNAcentral. Lineage: Eukaryota; Metazoa; Arthropoda; Malacostraca; Decapoda; Parastacidae.
GCGGUAUAAUGACCGUGCGAAGGUAGCAUAAUAAUUAGUCUUUUNAAUUAAAGGCUGGUAUGAAUGGUCGAACGAGAAAUAAACUUUCUUUACUAAAAAGAUUGAAUUUAACUUUUAAGUGAAAAGGCUUAAAUGUUCCGGAGGGACGAUAAGACCCUAUAAAGUUUUACAUUGAGAUUACUCUAAAAUGAUUUAAAUAAGAAANGUUUAUUAGUGAUUGGAGUGUUUUGCUGGGGCGGCAAGGAUAUAAAUAAUAUAACUGUUCUUUANNAGAAACAAAUAUAUUUGUUUCAGUGAUCUUUAGUUUAAAGUGAUAGAAUAAGUUACUUUAGGGNAUAACAGCNGUUAUUUUUUUUAANGAGUUCUUAUCAACAAAAAAGUUUGCNGACCUCGAUGUUGAAUUAAAG